RNAcentral lists this ribosomal RNA (461 nucleotides) under uncultured Bacillota bacterium. RNAcentral describes it as "bacterial SSU rRNA". It matches the Rfam family "Bacterial small subunit ribosomal RNA", at positions 8 to 459 of the family's 1533-position model. Lineage: Bacteria; Bacillati; Bacillota. The record is from RNAcentral.
AGAGUUUGAUCAUGGCUCAGAAUUAACGCUGGCGGAGUGCAUAACACAUGCAAGUCGAACGGGAUUACAGGAGCCCGUAAGGGUUUCUGUAAUUUAGUGGCAAACGGGUGAGUAAUACGUAGGUAACCUGCCUGAAGAAUCGGGAUAGCUUUACGAAAGUGGAGAUAAUACCGGAUGAGACCACGAUUUAAUUAAUUGAGGUUAAAGAUAGUAAUAUCGUCAUCAGAGGGGCCUGCGUCCUAUCAGCUUGUUGGUGAGGUAACGGCCCACCAAGGCGAUGACGGGUAGCCGACCUGAAAGGGCGAUCGGCCACACUGGAACUGAGACACGGUCCAGACUCCUACGGGAGGCAGCAGUGAGGAAUUUUGCACAAUGGGGGAAACCCUGAUGCAGCAACUCCGCGUGAAGGAUGAAGGUUUUCGGAUUGUAAACUUCUUUUGGAGGGGAAAAUGUCCUGAUGU